Molecule: ribosomal RNA, 306 nt
Filed under: Triticum aestivum (bread wheat)
Lineage: Eukaryota; Viridiplantae; Streptophyta; Magnoliopsida; Poales; Poaceae
Description: partial small subunit ribosomal RNA
Source: RNAcentral
AUGAAGAUACCUCAUAAGAAUAAAAUAUUUGCAUGGUAUCUUUGUCGCGGAGUCUUUCUUACUAAAGAUAACCUUAUUAAGAGGAAUUGGCAUGGAAGUGCGCAAUGUGUCUUUUGUCAUCGUGAUGAGACAAUAAAACAUUUAUUCCUCCAAUGCAAAUUGGCUCGUUCUAUAUGGUCAGUCAUCAAAAUAGCUUCUAGCUUGUAUCCUCCUUGUAGUGUUGCUAAUAUAUUUGGCAACUGGUUGCAUGGGAUUGAUCACAGGUUUAGAACUCUUCUCAGGGUGGGAGCGCUUGCCGUUAUUUGA